CAAUUUUGGUACAUCGAGUCGUCCCUCGGGGCGGCUCCGGUGUCACCAAUCGAGAUACCAACCCAUGUCUUUUGAGCACCUUACGUUUCCUCGGCAGGCUCGCCUGCCAAUGGGGACCCCUUUAAAACCUUUUUGUGUAUGCAGUAAACGUCUACAAACAAAUGAAAUCA
This 170-nucleotide unclassified non-coding RNA is filed under the name uncultured Phoma. Its description in RNAcentral is "sequence contains ITS1". Lineage: Eukaryota; Fungi; Ascomycota. The record is from RNAcentral.